GACGAACGCUGGCGGCGUGCUUAACACAUGCAAGUCGAGCGGUAAGGCCCUUUCGGGGGUACGACGAGCGGCGAACGGGUGAGUAACACGUGGGUGACCUGCCCUCAGCUCUGGGAUAAGCCUGGGAAACCGGGUCUAAUACCGGAUAUGACUCCAUGACGCAUGUUGUGGGGUGGAAAGCCUUGUGCGGCUGAGGAUGGGCCCGCGGCCUAUCAGCUUGUUGGUGGGGUGAUGGCCUACCAAGGCGACGACGGGUAGCCGGCCUGAGAGGGCGACCGGCCACACUGGGACUGAGACACGGCCCAGACUCCUACGGGAGGCAGCAGUGGGGAAUCUUGCGCAAUGGGCGAAAGCCUGACGCAGCGACGCCGCGUGAGGGAUGACGGCCUGG
This 391-nucleotide ribosomal RNA is filed under the name uncultured bacterium. RNAcentral's name for it is "bacterial SSU rRNA". It matches the Rfam family "Bacterial small subunit ribosomal RNA", at positions 28 to 419 of the family's 1533-position model. The record is from RNAcentral.